AUAUAUAUGUAAAUGGCAUAUUUUAAAUAAAGAAUCUGUUCUUAUCAGCUUAAUAUCUGAUACGACGUCGACAUGACGUCAAGAUAUUAAACUAAUUUUUGCAGAUAGGCUUGUGGUUAGGAAUUUAUUCCGCCCUCGCCACGGGUUGGCCUGCUAUGGCACUACUUGCAGGAUACGGCCCACAAUAU
Molecule: small nuclear RNA, 188 nt
Filed under: Stegodyphus dumicola
Lineage: Eukaryota; Metazoa; Arthropoda; Arachnida; Araneae; Eresidae
Description: U2 spliceosomal RNA
Rfam family: U2 spliceosomal RNA
About the family: U2 is a small nuclear RNA (snRNA) component of the spliceosome (involved in pre-mRNA splicing).
Source: RNAcentral